Molecule: long non-coding RNA, 348 nt
Filed under: Serinus canaria (Common canary)
Lineage: Eukaryota; Metazoa; Chordata; Aves; Passeriformes; Fringillidae
Description: lncRNA (ENSSCAG00000008432.1)
Source: RNAcentral
CUCAUCUAAGCAAUGGAUUAGUUAUCUUGGGUCUACACAAAGGUUUACUAUUUUCUGCCAAGGAAAUAUGAGCUGUCAAGAAAGAGAAUCUGCUGCACAAAAAAGCAAUGAUGACAAGCUGCUUCUUGGAAAAUGUGGAAAGUCUUUAAGAACAUGGGAGAAAAGAACAGAAGCACUAGACAACAUCUGAUGUAUCCCAGUAUGAAAGACAUGCUAUCAAAUUAUCAGUAUCUGCAACAGAAUCCAGUGACACUGAAAAGAAAGACAAAAAAAAAGAUGACAAGCCUUGUCAGGGCUUCUCUAGUGACAAGGGCUUUCUUUUCCUGAUGAGAUGAAGACAUAAAAAAU